Molecule: ribosomal RNA, 472 nt
Filed under: Gemella morbillorum
Lineage: Bacteria; Bacillati; Bacillota; Bacilli; Caryophanales; Gemellaceae
Description: bacterial SSU rRNA
Rfam family: Bacterial small subunit ribosomal RNA
Source: RNAcentral
GACGAACGCUGGCGGCGUGCCUAAUACAUGCAAGUCGAGCGAAGUUUUUCUGGUGCUUGCACUAGAAAAACUUAGCGGCGAACGGGUGAGUAACACGUAAAGAACCUGCCUCAUAGACUGGGACAACUAUUGGAAACGAUAGCUAAUACCGGAUAACAGCAUUAACUGCAUGGUUGAUGUUUGAAAGUUGGUUUUGCUAACACUAUGAGAUGGCUUUGCGGUGCAUUAGCUAGUUGGUGGGGUAAAGGCCUACCAAGGCGACGAUGCAUAGCCGACCUGAGAGGGUGAUCGGCCACACUGGGACUGAGACACGGCCCAGACUCCUACGGGAGGCAGCAGUAGGGAAUCUUCCGCAAUGGGCGAAAGCCUGACGGAGCAACGCCGCGUGAGUGAAGAAGGAUUUCGAUUCGUAAAGCUCUGUUGUUAGGGAAGAAUGAUUAUGUAGUAACUAUACAUAGUAGAGACGGUACCU